Molecule: ribosomal RNA, 199 nt
Filed under: uncultured bacterium
Lineage: Bacteria
Description: partial 16S ribosomal RNA
Rfam family: Bacterial small subunit ribosomal RNA
Source: RNAcentral
ACGCUCGACACCUACGGGAGGCGGCAGUGGGGAAUAUUGCACAAUGGGGGAAACCCUGAUGCAGCGACGCCGCGUGGAGGAAGAAGGUCUUCGGAUUGUAAACUCCUGUUGUUGGGGAAAAAGAGGAUGGUACCCAACAAGGAAGUGAACGGCUAACUACGUGCCGGCAGCCGCGGUAAUCUGAGCGGGCUGGCAAGGC